This 1299-nucleotide ribosomal RNA is filed under the name Alkalibacillus almallahensis. RNAcentral describes it as "bacterial SSU rRNA". It matches the Rfam family "Bacterial small subunit ribosomal RNA", at positions 86 to 1372 of the family's 1533-position model. Lineage: Bacteria; Bacillati; Bacillota; Bacilli; Caryophanales; Bacillaceae. The record is from RNAcentral.
GUGGAACGAGCGGCGGACGGGUGAGUAACACGUGGGCAACCUACCUGUGAGACGGGGAUAACUCCGGGAAACCGGGGCUAAUACCGGAUAACGCAUCGAACCGCAUGGUUCGAUGAUCAAAGAUGGCUUCUUGCUAUCACUCACAGAUGGGCCCGCGGCGCAUUAGUUAGUUGGUGAGGUAACGGCUCACCAAGGCGACGAUGCGUAGCCGACCUGAGAGGGUGAUCGGCCACACUGGGACUGAGACACGGCCCAGACUCCUACGGGAGGCAGCAGUAGGGAAUCAUCCGCAAUGGACGCAAGUCUGACGGUGCAACGCCGCGUGAGCGAUGAAGGUCUUCGGAUCGUAAAGCUCUGUUGUGAGGGAAGAACAAGUGCCGUUCGAAUAGGGCGGCACCUUGACGGUACCUCACCAGAAAGCCCCGGCUAACUACGUGCCAGCAGCCGCGGUAAUACGUAGGGGGCAAGCGUUGUCCGGAAUUAUUGGGCGUAAAGCGCGCGCAGGCGGUUCCUUAAGUCUGAUGUGAAAGGCCACAGCUCAACUGUGGAGGGCCAUUGGAAACUGGGGAACUUGAGGACAGAAGAGGAGAGCGGAAUUCCACGUGUAGCGGUGAAAUGCGUAGAUAUGUGGAGGAACACCAGUGGCGAAGGCGGCUCUCUGGUCUGUAACUGACGCUGAGGCGCGAAAGCAUGGGUAGCGAACAGGAUUAGAUACCCUGGUAGUCCAUGCCGUAAACGUUGAGUGCUAGGUGUUAGGGGGUCCAACCCUUAGUGCUGCAGUUAACGCAAUAAGCACUCCGCCUGGGGAGUACGGCCGCAAGGCUGAAACUCAAAGGAAUUGACGGGGGCCUGCACAAGCGGUGGAGCAUGUGGUUUAAUUCGACGCAACGCGAAGAACCUUACCAGGUCUUGACAUCUUCGGACAGCCCAAGAGAUUGGGUCUUCCCUUCGGGGACCGAAUGACAGGUGGUGCAUGGUUGUCGUCAGCUCGUGUCGUGAGAUGUUGGGUUAAGUCCCGUAACGAGCGCAACCCCUGAUCUUAGUUGCCAGCAUUCAGUUGGGCACUCUAGGAUGACUGCCGGUGACAAACCGGAGGAAGGCGGGGAUGACGUCAAAUCAUCAUGCCCCUUAUGACCUGGGCUACACACGUGCUACAAUGGAUGGUACAAAGGGAAGCCAAACCGCGAGGUCGAGCUAAUCCCAUAAAGCCAUUCUCAGUUCGGAUUGUAGGCUGCAACUCGCCUGCAUGAAGCCGGAAUCGCUAGUAAUCGCGGAUCAGAAUGCCGCGGUGAAUACGUU